GAUGAACGCUGGCGGCGUGCCUAAUACAUGCAAGUCGAGCGAACAGACGAGGAGCUUGCUCCUCUGACGUUAGCGGCGGAAGGGUGAGUAACACGUGGAUAACCUACCUAUAAGACUGGGAUAACUUCGGGAAACCGGAGCUAAUACCGGAUAAUAUAUUGAACCGCAUGGUUCAAUAGUGAAAGACGGUUUUGCUGUCACUUAUAGAUGGAUCCGCGCCGCAUUAGCUAGUUGGUAAGGUAACGGCUUACCAAGGCAACGAUGCGUAGCCGACCUGAGAGGGUGAUCGGCCAAACUGGAACUGCGACACGGUCCAGACUCCUACGGGAGGCAGCAGUAGGGAAUCUUCCGCAAUGGGCGAAAGCCUGACGGAGCAACGCCGCGUGAGUGAUGAAGGUCUUCGGAUCGUAAAACUCUGUUAUUAGGGAAGAACAAAUGUGUAAGUAACUAUGCACGUCUUGACGGUACCUAAUCAGAAAGCCACGGCUAACUACGUG
RNAcentral lists this ribosomal RNA (497 nucleotides) under uncultured bacterium. RNAcentral describes it as "partial 16S ribosomal RNA". It matches the Rfam family "Bacterial small subunit ribosomal RNA", at positions 28 to 507 of the family's 1533-position model. The record is from RNAcentral.